Molecule: small RNA, 24 nt
Filed under: Arabidopsis thaliana (thale cress)
Lineage: Eukaryota; Viridiplantae; Streptophyta; Magnoliopsida; Brassicales; Brassicaceae
Description: ATSL166040
Source: RNAcentral
UAGAAAACAACAAAAAAAGUUUUU